GAUCAUGGCUCAGAUUGAACGCUGGCGGCAUGCUUUACACAUGCAAGUCGAACGGUAACAGGGAAAAGCUUGCUUUUCUGCUGACGAGUGGCGAACGGGUGAGUAACACAUCGGAACGUGCCCUGUAUGGGGGAUAACUACUCGAAAGAGUGGCUAAUACCGCAUACAACCUGAGGGUAAAAUGGGGGACCGCAAGGCCUCACGCUAUAGGAGCGGCCGAUGGAAGAUUAGGGUAGUUGGUAGGGUUAAAAGGCCUACCAAGCCGACGAUCUUUAGCGGGUCUGAGAGCAUGAUCCCCCACACGGGUACUGAGACACGGACCCGACUCCUACGGGAGGCAGCAGUAAGGAAUAUUGGACAAUGGUCGGAAGACUGAUCCAGCCAUGCCGCGUGAAGGAUGAAGGCGCUCAGCGUUGUAAACUUCUUUUGUACGGGAACAAAAUGCGACCUGCGGGUUGUACUGAGGGUACCGUAAGAAUAAGCACCGGCUAACUCCGUG
This 499-nucleotide ribosomal RNA is filed under the name uncultured bacterium. RNAcentral describes it as "bacterial SSU rRNA". It matches the Rfam family "Bacterial small subunit ribosomal RNA", at positions 15 to 507 of the family's 1533-position model. The record is from RNAcentral.